This 449-nucleotide ribosomal RNA is filed under the name uncultured bacterium. RNAcentral's name for it is "bacterial SSU rRNA". It matches the Rfam family "Bacterial small subunit ribosomal RNA", at positions 328 to 793 of the family's 1533-position model. The record is from RNAcentral.
CCGCCAGACUCCUACGGGAGGCAGCAGUGGGGAAUAUUGCACAAUGGGGGAAACCCUGAUGCAGCGACGCCGCGUGAGUGAAGAAGUAUUUCGGUAUGUAAAGCUCUAUCAGCAGGGAAGAAAAUGACGGUACCUGAUUAAGAAGCCCCGGCUAACUACGUGCCAGCAGCCGCGGUAAUACGUAGGGGGCAAGCGUUAUCCGGAUUUACUGGGUGUAAAGGGAGCGUAGACGGUGAUGCAAGUCAGAAGUGAAAGCCCGGGGCUCAACUCCGGGACUGCUUUUGAAACUGUGUGACUGGAGUGCAGGAGAGGUAAGCGGAAUUCCUGGUGUAGCGGUGAAAUGCGUAGAUAUCAGGAGGAACACCGGUGGCGAAGGCGGCUUGCUGGACGGUAACUGACGUUGAGGCUCGAAAGCGUGGGGAGCAAACAGGAUUAGAUACCCGAGUAUG